This 262-nucleotide long non-coding RNA is filed under the name Capsicum annuum. RNAcentral describes it as "long non-coding RNA (CANN_LNC004570)". The record is from RNAcentral. Lineage: Eukaryota; Viridiplantae; Streptophyta; Magnoliopsida; Solanales; Solanaceae.
GGCGAAUAACCAAUCCAAUAAGUCUUUCUGGCUGGAUCUCCCCCAAUAGACUCCUUUUUGUAGGUGUCCCCGAGAAUGCCAGUCAUAAGCAUAAGAAAGCUCGAUCGGGGGUGGCUUUCCUUUCUUUAGGAACCUAUUUCCUCUGUCGAUAGAGCUAAAGCAGUCAUUCAUUAAUCCACCCUCCCAUGAACUGAAAACUGACCCACUCACACUCCUUUUGAGGGCUUCGGGAAUAAGUAUCAUACUGAGUCAACGAUCAGGG